UCAGGCGAUUUUGGAGAGUUUAUUUUUGAAACGCGAGAGUACUGUUAACAUUAUGCUUGCAAUUUGUGAUCAAUUUUCCUCUUUUUCGGCUGUAGAAAAAGUCGUGAAGGUUUUUGAAGAAGAGCAGGGUCCUAAUGGAGGAGAGAUUUGAGGACGAUCGCUGCAGCCAAGAAAAGGCUGAAAAAUCUUGUUGACAAUCCUGUUCUGAAGUGAAAUACUAUUACUACGACAUGCAUUGCAUGCGUCAAAGAGGUGGUCAAGAGUUCGGGCAAGCGACCUAAUCGGAGAUGCAGUCAUCGAUCUGCCUUUGCCAUCAAUGCGGCGCUGUUUUUAUGGAUGAGGAUGAUAUGGAUUUUCACAUCCGGUAUCAGCAUGAAGAGGGCCCAUGUAUGUAGUCCGGGCAGUAAUAAGCGUCAAGGAACUGGUGGGGAUGGGGAAGAACAACAUAAGAAGAAGAAAGUUUCUUUUAGUGAGGUUGAGGACGUUGAAAACGACAAGUUUGACUAUUAUGAUGAAAAUGCCCCUCUGUCGAAGGCACAGAAGGAUUUGUUAUAAGAUGUAUUUGGGGAUCACAUAUUCGAUGAUGAUAGUGAUGAAGAAGAAGAAGAUAAUGAUAGCAUCGGUACGCCAGUUCAAGACGAGCGGGAGUUCAAUCAAACUAAUGAAAUUUCUUCAUCAAAUAACGUGACCAUGAGUAAUGGCGAAGAAAUGGCAUGUUUCUUGGCAAAAGUCGAGGAGCAGAAUUUGGGCAGAUACAGUCCAGUGACCACAUGGGGAUGUCUUGCAACAAAGAAAUCCAGCGUUAUGGAAAACAAAUCAGUGAAGAUGAUCCCUUUGGAGCCUGUGGAUAAAGUAGAGAUCGUUGAUCCAAGGUUGAAAAUGGAUUACACAACAAAGUUUAAAAGGGCCAGUGCAGGAAAGAACGUUCUGCCAUUGGAGGAAGGCAUUCCCGGAAAAUCACCUUUGACAUACACUGUUACUGAAGUUACCAAUUUUCCGAAUGGACUGUCUAAAUCUAUAUCGAGAACAUGGUCAUACGCAGCUGAAGACGUCUCUCUCGUGGAAGAAUGAUCUGUUUUAAUCCGUGACACUUUGUAUGAUCGUUGGUGAUGCUACGAAAAUCACCGUGUUAAUAAUUAAUAGUUAGAGACGUGUUUUAAAUUCAGUUCAUAACUCUAAUGAUGCCAUGUGCAUUGGAAAUCAUCCGUGACACUUUGUAUGAUCGUUUGUGAUGCUACGAAAAUCACAGUGUUAAUAAUUAAUAGUUAGAGACGUGUUUUAAAUUCAGUUCGUAACUCUAAUGAUGCCAUGUGCAUUGGAAGUCAUCCGUGACGUUUUGUAUGAUCGUUUGUGAUGUUACGAAAACCACAGUGACCUGACCUAGGCCGUAUGAACUGGUAGUGAUACUAUGUAUGCCGCACAGAGGUGAUGGACCUCAGAUAGAGAUAGUUAGUUUGUUGGGGUUUUUUUUAUCGAACUGACUAUGAGGUGUCGGAAAGUGACAAUAAUGGGACACACGCAUAAUUGUUUGUGUUUUACGAUACUAUGAGAGACAGUUGCGGUUGACUGAGUUUGUUGAUCUAUAUUUAACUAUUAAGUGUUGGCCAAAAUCUUUUUGUCAAAUUCACACAUAGUUGAAUUUUGGUUGGGGGCUAUGUAGAGAUUUUGACCCUUUUUUGCCUUUGGCAUCAUUGCAAAAUCUUUCCUUUAAGGUUUCUUUAAUUUAACAAAGUGUUUUGACUUGGAUGUCAAUUUUAUGAGUUGACCAUCCGUAUUUAAGAAUUAAUGUCAUGUGGGUCCCUUUUCUGCAUCUUUUCCUUUUUUAACCCUGUCCAGCCUCACUUUCAUCCCUUGGAAUAUAAUUGUUUAAGUCAGUCCUACAACUUUUCAUCAAGAUUUAAGAAUUCUACUAAUUGGAUUGUCAAAGUGUGAAUAUGGAUUCUAAUCAGUCAAAAUAUCAGGUAAUUAUCUGGUCCCUUUUUCUAAGUCGUCUUUUUAAAUCUAUCUGUGUCUAUACCAAUUUUAUUCAAGCUGUUUUAAAAUUCUUUGACGUCUGGUAAAAUUUAAGUGCACUAUGGAAGCUGUGCAAAUCUUUGUUUACUGUGUAUUUUACACUACGGGUCAAUGACCUUGGACCUGAGCCAAGUUGACGGUCCUUUUUGUCAUUCCAAAACUGCGCAUUUAAAAUACGUGCGGUUUUCGACUUUAGGUCAAUAUAUAUUUACAAUCGGUUUUUGGAACAAUAAUUACUUUUAAUUAGCUUCCAUUAUGUUUAUUUUAAAGAAGUUAAGGCAAGUCCGUCACUUUUCGUUUGGUGAUGACGUCAUACCGUCUCACUUUCGUCAAGUUGUCGACGAUGUCUCGUCAACUUCUAAAUGUCAAAAUUAUACAUAUCGUAUGUGACUUGUAGUCUUGUGAACCGACGUCAGGGUAUUUUUCAUAUGAUCUUAUGAGAUUUUGUGUAACUAUGGACUUGCAAAAUAUAUAUUUACCUCUUUAGGCAGCUCGAUCGGUUUUUCGUCAAAAGGCGUAACUUUGACCGGGAAAAUAUUGCACGAGGUUUUGGGCUACGUUUUACGAUCGGUUAUAUCGUGCAUAAAGUUUAAUAACAUCGAUCAAAACAUGUAUGAGGUGAUAAAGUACUACCUUAUUGUUGAUAUCCUUAUGAUAUUUGGAACUGUUAUCAGUCAGUGGUGCGGUAUUUCGUCAGUUUAUCCAUCGUUUACGGUUUCCUUCUUGGUAAAAAUUUACUGUUAUUGACGCGAUGUAUUUCGACCAAUGCAAAUGCGCGUGGGGUGUAACGUCACCUGAUUGACCCGGGGAGUUGAUUGAAAAUCAUUGUUGCGUUGGCGCGGGAAAAAAAAGUAACGUCGUUUGACUUUCCUCAAAAAGAGAGGGGUUUCGCUCGUGGUAACGUCGUGACGUUGUUAACGUACAAUUUUACGAAAAAGGCACGCUGGGUGCGAUACGUCGUCUGUAUAGAUUGUUGCAUUUAUGAUACGUUGUUUGUCUCAAUUGUCAAACUGGGUUGCUCCCUUGCGAUAUAAAAGCUGGGAUUCACUUUGGGCGAGAGAAAUUUAGAAAACCAGUGUUUGUGGGAACUCUCGUCAAACGAAACUAAAUCCGUGGUCCCGGUCUCUGUGCUGUCUCUAUUAUACGUCGUAACGUUUAAUGGUCUGUGUAUCUGUAUUCGUCGCUCAUAUAAGAAAUACGUGUUACCAUCGUCUAUAUAUACAUCUGUGAAUAUUCCGUUAUCAAAUAAAUCUUAUUAUACGUUA
Lineus longissimus is the source of this 3278-nucleotide long non-coding RNA. RefSeq lists it as uncharacterized. The transcript has 2 exons. The record is from RefSeq and is a predicted model, not a curated record. Lineage: Eukaryota; Metazoa; Nemertea; Pilidiophora; Heteronemertea; Lineidae.